This 164-nucleotide small nuclear RNA is filed under the name Myotis brandtii (Brandt's bat). RNAcentral describes it as "U1 spliceosomal RNA". It matches the Rfam family "U1 spliceosomal RNA". From Rfam's summary of the family: U1 is a small nuclear RNA (snRNA) component of the spliceosome (involved in pre-mRNA splicing). The record is from Rfam by way of RNAcentral. Lineage: Eukaryota; Metazoa; Chordata; Mammalia; Chiroptera; Vespertilionidae.
AUACUUACCUGGCAGGGGAGAUACCAUGAUCACGAAGGUGGUUUUCCCAGGGCGAGGCUUAUCCAUUGCACUCCGGAUGUGCUGACCCCUGCGAUUUCUCCAAAUGUGGGAAACUCGACUGCAUAAUUUGUGGUAGUGGGGGACUGCAUUCACGCGCUCCCCUG